CUACACAAUAGAUGACAUAUGACUGAUUAGGAAAACAACACAAUAAGUGCGAGAAUGUCCGCUCUGUCCACCUAGCUACUCUCACGUGUCCGCUGUAGCCACUGUCCGCUCUGACCGCGUAACCAACCAAUACAACCACCAAGAACCGGCUCAGUGUGCGCAGGUGAAACAGAAAUAUCAAACUUCCAUCCUGGAUCCUGGUAUGUCUGAAAAACUUAAAGGAAGACAAGCCUAAGAUACUAAUUCUGAAAUGCAUAUUAUUUUAAAAGAUAACAAACCUAUAUCUCUGAUACCCAGAAGAUAUAAGAGAUAAAGAAAGUGUUCAACUAAAACAAGUAAAAUCUAUUUUACAAUUGGAUUUGGAUGUUCAUGAAGAACAAGUUAUGUCUUUGGAAAGAAAACUUUCCGUAUCAGACUGUAGAAAUUUUACAGAAACAACUAUUAGAUGCCAAGAAUGAAAUAGAAGCUGCGAAAAUACAAAUGUUUAAGGUACAAGAAGAAAAUAAGAAAACAUAUAACUUUCGAAGACGUUCUUCAAAAUGUUAUGAAAUUAAUGAUUUAGUAGCAAUCAAAAGGACGCAAUUUGGACCAAUAAGUUAAAAUCAAAGUAUUUAGGCUCGUAUAAGAUUGUCAAAAUAAAGAAUAAUGACUCCUAUGAUGUUGUAAAAGAAGGAGAUCAUGAAGGACCCACUAAAACAAGUACAUGCGCUGAAUACAUAAAACAAUGGACUCAAGCAGAAGAAGAUGAAUAAAAUAAUACUGAUUAUGACGUUCUUAACCUGAAGUGAUACAACUGAUAACCGAACUGUGAGUUUCCACCUAAUAAUGACUUUUAUUUCAGUAAAUGCUAUUUUUAAGAUGAAAUGAACAUUUCCAAAACUGUUAAAGAUUGAAGAUAUUUUUCGUUUUAGAUGAAAUAUAGAAGGGACUGUCGACGAUGUUAUUGUGCAAAGAUGAAGGACAAUUAAGAUGUUUCCUUUCAAUAUUGUCCUUAGCACACAAUCUUCCCCUCUCCCUUCGUACUUCUUUUCAGGUUUCGGCUUAUUUACGAUGAUGGUUCUUUUUAUGAUGUCAAGAGUAGAAUAAUGUCGUCGAGGUCGACGCAUAGCAGGAACCCGAAUGUGGGAUACUAAAUCCAUAGUUUAACAAUUUUCUUCGCGAGCUGUCUAAUUUUUAGCUGUUGACUGCACGAGUGAAAUUGAUAGAACUUUGAACACUUUGUUUUAUGAGAGGAGAUGUAAGAUGUUGUUUUAUAGAUAUAAGGUGUUAUAGAUGUUGUGUUAAUAAAUGAACGAUAUUAUACA
Molecule: long non-coding RNA, 1304 nt
Filed under: Stegodyphus dumicola
Lineage: Eukaryota; Metazoa; Arthropoda; Arachnida; Araneae; Eresidae
Description: uncharacterized LOC118187488
Source: RNAcentral